RNAcentral lists this ribosomal RNA (479 nucleotides) under Pseudomonas sp. 01WB04.1-5. RNAcentral describes it as "bacterial SSU rRNA". It matches the Rfam family "Bacterial small subunit ribosomal RNA", at positions 1 to 484 of the family's 1533-position model. RNAcentral also lists the same sequence under 1 other name. Lineage: Bacteria; Pseudomonadati; Pseudomonadota; Gammaproteobacteria; Pseudomonadales; Pseudomonadaceae. The record is from RNAcentral.
UGAGCUUGAUCAUGGCUCAGAUUGAACGCUGGCGGCAGGCCUAACACAUGCAAGUCGAGCGGUAGAGAGAAGCUUGCUUCUCUUGAGAGCGGCGGACGGGUGAGUAAUGCCUAGGAAUCUGCCUGGUAGUGGGGGAUAACGUUCGGAAACGGACGCUAAUACCGCAUACGUCCUACGGGAGAAAGCAGGGGACCUUCGGGCCUUGCGCUAUCAGAUGAGCCUAGGUCGGAUUAGCUAGUUGGUGGGGUAAUGGCUCACCAAGGCGACGAUCCGUAACUGGUCUGAGAGGAUGAUCAGUCACACUGGAACUGAGACACGGUCCAGACUCCUACGGGAGGCAGCAGUGGGGAAUAUUGGACAAUGGGCGAAAGCCUGAUCCAGCCAUGCCGCGUGUGUGAAGAAGGUCUUCGGAUUGUAAAGCACUUUAAGUUGGGAGGAAGGGCAGUAAAUUAAUACUUUGCUGUUUGACGUACCGACAG